RNAcentral lists this ribosomal RNA (462 nucleotides) under uncultured bacterium. RNAcentral's name for it is "partial 16S ribosomal RNA". It matches the Rfam family "Bacterial small subunit ribosomal RNA", at positions 28 to 507 of the family's 1533-position model. The record is from RNAcentral.
GACGAACGCUGGCGGCGUGCUUAACACAUGCAAGUCGAGCGGAAAGGCCCUUCGGGGUACUCGAGCGGCGAACGGGUGAGUAGCACGUGAGUAACCUGCCCCAGACUUUGGGAUAACCCUCGGAAACGGGGGCUAAUACCGGAUACGACACAGCUUCGCAUGGGGUCUGUGUGGAAAGUUUUUCGGUUUGGGAUGGGCUCGCGGCCUAUCAGCUUGUUGGUGGGGUGAUGGCCUACCAAGGCGACGACGGGUAGCCGGCCUGAGAGGGCGACCGGCCACACUGGGACUGAGACACGGCCCAGACUCCUACGGGAGGCAGCAGUGGGGAAUAUUGCACAAUGGGCGGAAGCCUGAUGCAGCGACGCCGCGUGAGGGAUGACGGCCUUCGGGUUGUAAACCUCUUUCAGCAGGGACGAAGCUUAAGUGACGGUACCUGCAGAAGAAGCGCCGGCCAACUACGUG